GCUUGGGUUGCUUUAGUUGGUCGAAAAGUCCAGACUGUUAAUCUGGUGAACGUAAGUUCCACCGCAGGUUCGAAUCCUGCUCCAAGCG
This 88-nucleotide transfer RNA is filed under the name bacterium. Its description in RNAcentral is "tRNA-Asn". It matches the Rfam family "tRNA". From Rfam's summary of the family: Transfer RNA (tRNA) molecules are approximately 80 nucleotides in length. Their secondary structure includes four short double-helical elements and three loops (D, anti-codon, and T loops). The record is from RNAcentral.